Molecule: ribosomal RNA, 402 nt
Filed under: uncultured Rhodobacter sp.
Lineage: Bacteria; Pseudomonadati; Pseudomonadota; Alphaproteobacteria; Rhodobacterales
Description: bacterial SSU rRNA
Rfam family: Bacterial small subunit ribosomal RNA
Source: RNAcentral
AGUGGGGAAUCUUAGACAAUGGGCGCAAGCCUGAUCUAGCCAUGCCGCGUGAGCGAUGAAGGCCUUAGGGUUGUAAAGCUCUUUCAGUGGGGAAGAUAAUGACGGUACCCACAGAAGAAGCCCCGGCUAACUCCGUGCCAGCAGCCGCGGUAAUACGGAGGGGGCUAGCGUUGUUCGGAAUUACUGGGCGUAAAGCGCACGUAGGCGGACUGGAAAGUCAGGGGUGAAAUCCCGGGGCUCAACCCCGGAACUGCCUUUGAAACUCCCAGUCUUGAGGUCGAGAGAGGUGAGUGGAAUUCCGAGUGUAGAGGUGAAAUUCGUAGAUAUUCGGAGGAACACCAGUGGCGAAGGCGGCUCACUGGCUCGAUACUGACGCUGAGGUGCGAAAGCGUGGGGAGCAAA